AGUUUGCAUAAAGAGAGGAAAUCCUCAGCAACCUAGAUUACCAACUAAGGUGCUUUUUGAUGUGGUUUAACGACAAAAAAUGGUAUUUU
The submitters of this non-coding RNA (89 nucleotides) gave its source as unclassified sequences. The record is from Rfam.